UACAGAGGGUGCAAGCGUUGUUCGGAAUUAUUGGGCGUAAAGGGCGCGUAGGCGGUUCGGCAAGUCUCUAGUGAAAUCUCUGGGCUCAACUCAGAGUCUGCUGGGGAAACUGCCGGGCUUGAGUGUGGGAGAGGAGAGUGGAAUUCCCGGUGUAGCGGUGAAAUGCGUAGAUAUCUGGAGGAACACCGGUGGCGAAGGCGGCAUCCUGGACCAAUUCUGACGCUGAGGAGCGAAAGCCAGGGGAGCAAACGGG
This 253-nucleotide ribosomal RNA is filed under the name uncultured bacterium. Its description in RNAcentral is "partial 16S ribosomal RNA". It matches the Rfam family "Bacterial small subunit ribosomal RNA", at positions 524 to 776 of the family's 1533-position model. The record is from RNAcentral.